CCUACGGGAGGCAGCAGUGGGGAAUUUUCCGCAAUGGGCGAAAGCCUGACGGAGCAACGCCGCGUGGGUGAUGAAGUAUUUCGGUACGUAAAACCCUUUCAGCAGGGACGAACACAAUGACGGUACCUGCAGAAGAAGCAUCGGCUAACUACGUGCCAGCAGCCGCGGUAAUACGUAGGAUGCAAGCGUUGUCCGGAUUUAUUGGGCGUAAAGCGAACGUAGGCGGUUUCUUAAGUUUGGUCUUAAAGACUGGGGCUCAACCCCAGGAAUGGACUGAAUACUGGGAGACUAGAGGAUGUUAGAGGAAAGUGGAAUUCCAAGUGUAGCGGUGAAAUGCGUAGAUAUUUGGAGGAACACCAGUGGCGAAAGCGGCUUUCUGGGACAUUUCUGACGCUGAGGUUCGAAAGCUCGGGGAGCAAACAGGAUUAGAUACCCUGGUAGUCCGAGCCGUAAACGAUGGACACUAGGUGUCGGGGGUAUCGACCCCCCGGUGCCGUAGCUAACGCGUUAAGUGUCCCGCCUGGGGAGGUACGGUCGCGACGACUAGAACUACGAAGAAGUAGACGGACGUGAGACGUGCCGAACGGACGACGACGAGGGAGGAGG
Molecule: ribosomal RNA, 606 nt
Filed under: uncultured bacterium
Lineage: Bacteria
Description: bacterial SSU rRNA
Rfam family: Bacterial small subunit ribosomal RNA
Source: RNAcentral